AGAGUUUGAUCAUGGCUCAGGACGAACGCUGGCGGCGUGCUUAACACAUGCAAGUCGAACGGAAAGGCCCCUUCGGGGGUGCUCGAGUGGCGAACGGGUGAGUAACACGUGGGUGAUCUGCCCUGCACUUUGGGAUAAGCCUGGGAAACUGGGUCUAAUACCGGAUAGGACUACGGCCUGCAUGGGUUGUGGUGAAAAGCUUUUGCGGUGUGGGAUGGGCCCGCGGCCUAUCAGCUUGUUGGUGGGGUGAUGGCCUACCAAGGCGACGACGGGUAGCCGGCCUGAGAGGGUGUCCGGCCACACUGGGACUGAGAUACGGCCCAGACUCCUACGGGAGGCAGCAGUGGGGAAUAUUGCACAAUGGGCGCAAGCCUGAUGCAGCGACGCCGCGUGAGGGAUGACGGCCUUCGGGUUGUAAACCUCUUUCAAUAGGGACGAAGCGCAAGUGACGGUACCUAUAGAAGAAGCACCGGCCAACUACGUGCCAGCAGCGGCGGUAAUAC
Molecule: ribosomal RNA, 503 nt
Filed under: uncultured bacterium
Lineage: Bacteria
Description: bacterial SSU rRNA
Rfam family: Bacterial small subunit ribosomal RNA
Source: RNAcentral